This 254-nucleotide ribosomal RNA is filed under the name uncultured bacterium. Its description in RNAcentral is "partial 16S ribosomal RNA". It matches the Rfam family "Bacterial small subunit ribosomal RNA", at positions 524 to 776 of the family's 1533-position model. The record is from RNAcentral.
UACGGGGGGGGGCAAGCGUUGUUCGGAAUUACUGGGCGUAAAGGCUCGUAGGCGGCCAACUAAGUCAGACGUGAAAUCCCUCGGCUUAACCGGGGAACUGCGUCUGAUACUGGAUGGCUUGAGGUUGGGAGAGGGAUGCGGAAUUCCAGGUGUAGCGGUGAAAUGCGUAGAUAUCUGGAGGAACACCGGUGGCGAAGGCGGCAUCCUGGACCAACUUCUGACGCUGAGGAGCGAAAGCCAGGGGAGCAAACGGG